UGGGGAAUUUUGGACAAUGGGGGAAACCCUGAUCCAGCCAUCCCGCGUGUGCGAUGAAGGCCUUCGGGUUGUAAAGCACUUUUGGCAGGAAAGAAACGUCAUGGGUUAAUACCCCGUGAAACUGACGGUACCUGCAGAAUAAGCACCGGCUAACUACGUGCCAGCAGCCGCGGUAAUACGUAGGGUGCAAGCGUUAAUCGGAAUUACUGGGCGUAAAGCGUGCGCAGGCGGUUCGGAAAGAAAGAUGUGAAAUCCCAGAGCUCAACUUUGGAACUGCAUUUUUAACUACCGGGCUAGAAUGUGUCAGAGGGAGGUGAAAUUCCGCGUGUAGCAGUGAAAUGCGUAGAUAUGCGGAGGAACACCGAUGGCGAAGGCAGCCUCCUGGGAUAACACUGACGCUCAUGCACGAAAGCGUGGGGAGCAAACAGG
Molecule: ribosomal RNA, 429 nt
Filed under: Acidobacteriota bacterium
Lineage: Bacteria; Pseudomonadati; Acidobacteriota
Description: Acidobacteria bacterium partial 16S ribosomal RNA
Rfam family: Bacterial small subunit ribosomal RNA
Source: RNAcentral